AGUGGCGAACGGGUGAGUAAUGCAUCGGAACGUACCUUUCAGUGGGGAAUAACUAUCCGAAAGGAUAGCUAAUACCGCAUAUUCUGUGAGCAGGAAAGCAGGGGAUCGCAAGACCUUGCGCUGAUUGAGCGGCCGAUGUCAGAUUAGCUAGUUGGUGAGGUAAAGGCUCACCAAGGCGACGAUCUGUAGCGGGUCUGAGAGGAUGAUCCGCCACACUGGAACUGAGACACGGUCCAGACUCCUACGGGAGGCAGCAGUGGGGAAUUUUGGACAAUGGGGGCAACCCGGAUCCAGCCAUGCCGCGUGAGUGAAGAAGGCCUUCGGGUUGUAAAGCUCUUUCGGCCGGGAAAAAAUCGCAUGGGUUAAUACCCUGUGUGGAUGAUGGUACCGGAAUAAGAAGCACCGGCUAACUACGUGCCAGCAGCCGCGGUAAUACGUAGGGUGCGAGCGUUAAUCGGAAUUACUGGGCGUAAAGCGUGCGCAGGCGGUUUUGUAAGACAGGCGUGAAAUCCCCGGGCUCAACCUGGGAACUGCGCUUGUGACUGCAAGGCUAGAGUACGGCAGAGGGGGGUGGAAUUCCACGUGUAGCAGUGAAAUGCGUAGAGAUGUGGAGGAACACCAAUGGCGAAGGCAGCCCCCUGGGUCGAUACUGACGCUCAUGCACGAAAGCGUGGGUAGCAAACAGGAUUAGAUACCCUGG
RNAcentral lists this ribosomal RNA (700 nucleotides) under uncultured bacterium. RNAcentral's name for it is "bacterial SSU rRNA". It matches the Rfam family "Bacterial small subunit ribosomal RNA", at positions 94 to 790 of the family's 1533-position model. The record is from RNAcentral.